RNAcentral lists this transfer RNA (73 nucleotides) under Urtica dioica (great nettle). RNAcentral's name for it is "tRNA-Thr". It matches the Rfam family "tRNA". Rfam says of the family: Transfer RNA (tRNA) molecules are approximately 80 nucleotides in length. Their secondary structure includes four short double-helical elements and three loops (D, anti-codon, and T loops). Lineage: Eukaryota; Viridiplantae; Streptophyta; Magnoliopsida; Rosales; Urticaceae. The record is from RNAcentral.
GCCCACUUAGCUCAGAGGUUAGAGCAUCGCAUUACAAAUGCGAUGGUCAUCGGUUCGACUCCGAUAGCGGGCU